GCCGCCGUGGUGGAAUGGUAGACACGGGGGACUUAAAAUCCCCUGCCCGCUUAAGGGCGUACUGGUUCAAAUCCAGUCGGCGGCACCA
RNAcentral lists this transfer RNA (88 nucleotides) under Candidatus Peregrinibacteria bacterium CG_4_9_14_3_um_filter_49_12. RNAcentral describes it as "tRNA-Leu". It matches the Rfam family "tRNA". Rfam says of the family: Transfer RNA (tRNA) molecules are approximately 80 nucleotides in length. Their secondary structure includes four short double-helical elements and three loops (D, anti-codon, and T loops). RNAcentral also lists the same sequence under 3 other names. The record is from RNAcentral. Lineage: Bacteria; Candidatus Peregrinibacteriota.